CCAGACAAACCUGGACUCCUAAAUGUACCUGAAACAUUUCGUUUCAGUCAGUCCAGUCACAGACAAAAGAAGAAGAAGUCACUCGCUGCGCAGUCUACCAUAGGAGGUGGCGCUAAUGCACCUUUCAGUUGGUUGCCACCCGCCAUUUAAAAGACAAAAGAAGAAGUCACUCAGGUUGAAGAAGCGCCCACUUGCUGCUUCCCCAAACUUAAGUACAUGCUUGAUACUUACUUGAUGUAUGUACUCCGGAAGUUUCUUUGUUUAUAAUCUAGCUCCCCUCCUGUGUAAGGAAUGCUAAUUGCUAGAAUAGUUGAUGCUAACAGCUACAGCAACAGAGAGAGACAGUGUUGCAAGGUGCUGACACGCAAUUUGGAUGAGUCCAAGCCUCUCCAGCAUUUGUCCGGUUCAAAUCGUCUGAUAUAUGGCUGGCGCAGCUACCGAAACUCGAGGAGGUUGCUUCUCAAACUGACGCCACUGCAGGCUGUGGACACGCGGCUACCUUGUAGAAGAGUUGUUGCUCACCUCAGGAGCAAAGAUUAUGUGGAAAAUGUGAUGGAGACCAUCUAUAAUAAAGUCCUGCUGGACUCAGGUUGUUCUAUGGAGGACCUUGUGAACAUCCCUGUCCCACCGGCCCUCUGAGCAGAAUUUGAGCAACCUGACAGAAAGGAGAGUGGUGUCAAGGAAAACUGCUGCAUCCUCCACCUGUACAGCAGCUGCACUGCUUCCGAUGUCUUCCAACACGUGAAGACAAAAAAGGUCCGCACAUCUCCCCAGCCAACUGCUCAUGACUGUACCUGUUCCACUCCAAAAACUAUGCUUUUAACAUAACUAUUAAUCCCGUUCAUUUUGUGGUCUGCACAUUGAACUGUGAAGGUAACUUAUCCAGCAUUAUAGUGCUGGUGCAUUGGUUGACAAUAAAGUUGGCUUUGACUAUU
Long non-coding RNA from Betta splendens (Siamese fighting fish), 935 nucleotides. RefSeq lists it as uncharacterized. The record is from RefSeq and is a predicted model, not a curated record. The transcript is spliced from 4 exons. Lineage: Eukaryota; Metazoa; Chordata; Actinopteri; Anabantiformes; Osphronemidae.